AUUGAACGCUGGCGGCAUGCCUUACACAUGCAAGUCGAACGGCAGCACGGGAGCAAUCCUGGUGGCGAGUGGCGAACGGGUGAGUAAUAUAUCGGAACGUGCCCGGUCGUGGGGAUAACGUAGCGAAAGCUACGCUAAUACCGCAUACGAUCUACGGAUGAAAGCGGGGGAUCGCAAGACCUCGCGCGAUUGGAGCGGCCGAUAUCAGAUUAGGUAGUUGGUGAGGUAAAGGCUCACCAAGCCGACGAUCUGUAGCUGGUCUGAGAGGACGACCAGCCACACUGGGACUGAGACACGGCCCAGACUCCUACGGGAGGCAGCAGUGAGGAAUAUUGGACAAUGGGCGCAAGCCUGAUCCAGCCAUGCCGCGUGCAGGAAGAAGCAUCUAUGGUGUGUAACUGCUUUUGUACGGGAAGAACACUCCUACGUGUAGGAGCUUGACGGUACCGUAAGAAUAGGAUCGGCUAACUCCGU
This 474-nucleotide ribosomal RNA is filed under the name uncultured bacterium. RNAcentral describes it as "bacterial SSU rRNA". It matches the Rfam family "Bacterial small subunit ribosomal RNA", at positions 30 to 506 of the family's 1533-position model. The record is from RNAcentral.